CCCACCCCAGAGGUGUGCAGGCAUGGCUGCUGUGUCACAUAUGCGUCAGUAGGUGGCAGAGAGGAGAAAGACUAUACUCUGUUCUCUUCUGACCUGUGAACAUCUGAAUGAUCCGUAGCCCAACAGU
Small nucleolar RNA from Arvicanthis niloticus (Nile rat), 127 nucleotides. RefSeq annotates it as small nucleolar RNA SNORA17. Lineage: Eukaryota; Metazoa; Chordata; Mammalia; Rodentia; Muridae. The record is from RefSeq and is a predicted model, not a curated record.